RNA transcript from Amblyraja radiata (thorny skate), 1844 nucleotides. It is a transcript of the gene named neugrin, neurite outgrowth associated, with no coding region annotated. The transcript has 4 exons. NCBI's taxonomy places the organism in Eukaryota, Metazoa, Chordata, Chondrichthyes, Rajiformes, Rajidae. The record is from RefSeq and is a predicted model, not a curated record.
CACCCAUUCCUUCUCUCCAGAGAUGCUGCCUGUCCCGCUGAGUUACUCCAGCACUUUGUGUCUUACUUCGGUGUAAAGCAGCACCUGCAGUUCCCCUCCCACACAUGAACAAAGCUCAGCCAGGCAGCAAGAGACGGGACCAGUUGAAGAGCGGAACCAUUGUGCUGGAGGCUGGAGCUGGGGCCGCGGCACUGAUGUGGCUGCGGGCUGCGGCGAGGCGAGGCCUGUGGGCGGGCGCCGUCACUACGAGACCCCGGGCUCAGGCCCAGGCCCACCCCGGCCGCUGGGGCUCCCCGCCGACCAGGGCGUUCAACGACGGGGGUGAAGCGGCCGAGCCCGACGAGCAGCAGCAACUAGAGGAGUUAAUCAGGGCAGAGAAGAGAAAGUGGAAAGCCAUAAAACACCGGAAAAUUCAGGCGGAGUUUGAGAGUGGCGGAGCUCCCACGAGAACUCUAACUACAGAGGCCCUGCAGCAAAUCAGGUUUUUGAAGGCACAGUUUCCGGAGGAGUGGAGCGUGUCACAGCUGGCCGAGGGGUUUUCAGUGAGCGAGGACGUCAUCCGGAGAGUUCUGCGGAGUAGGUUUGUCCCUUCGCCGGAGAGGAGGAUGAAACAGGAUGCGACAGUUGCAGCACUGAACCCGACUCUCUCUCCCCGAACGAAACAAGCGACCAUCGGUUUACCGCACAACUCAGUCCUGGCCGACUCCAAACUGGUGGCGGAUAAGGCACCUCUGGCCAGACUACCUCCGGGGCCAGACGCUCUUCCCGUUCUCCUGCCGAGCAGAGCCGGGGAGAAGAAGGUGGGAAGAUCCAAGCCAAUCCAGCAGAGAACCGGUAUCGAGCUCGCUGACCAAGGUGGGGUUGUGAAGGCCAACACCAGGAGGAAGGAAGCAACUGGCAAAGGGAGGGGGAAAGGCAGGGAACUCUGUGACACCUCCAGCGAUGAGCAGCUUGAUACUGCUGGGAAAAUGGACCAGGAAUUGGAGGAACUCGCUGGCAGAGAGAAGGAAAAUCACAUUGUCGUUGUCCAGAAAGACCAUGAGUUUUAUGACCAGGAUGGCAAUUUCCUUUAUAGGAUUAGUAAACACUUAAAUAAUCCGAAACAGGAAGACUGACAUGCAUUUAGUGUUUGUGAAAGAGGGAGCCAGGUGUCUGUGGCCCCUUUCAUUGCCUGGUGGGAUCUCAAGAGUGUUUCACAACUGGUCAAGUGACUUUGACUUGUAGUCACAUUUGUUCUGUAGCAAAAAAAGCCACCAAUCUGCACACAGCAAGUUCCCACGGCAGCAGCAUGGUAAUGAGGUGAUCAUUUUUUUGUCACACUUUGGGGAUAAAAUCUCAUCGGAGCGCCACUGAGAACUUCUGUACAUUUGAAAAGUCAUAAGGUCAUAAUGAAUAGGAGUAGGAUUAGGCCAUUCAGCCCAUCAAGUCUAAACUGCCAUUCAAUCGUGGCUGAUCUAUCUCUCCCUCCCAACCCCAUUCUCCUGCUUUUUCCCCAUAACCUCUGACACCUGUACUACUCAAGAAUCUAGCCAAGUGCUAAUCAAGGGCUAUAAGAUCUUUGUUUACUGUCUUAUCUGAGGUGCUUCACCUCUGGGAAGUGCAUGCACUGAUUGAGAUAGUGGGAGUCUGAUGUGGAGGGAGUAAAGCGACAGACACGUUGGGUAUCAGCUGUGGAAAUCUUGGAUGGAUGAUAUUGAGUGUUGAAGCCAUUGGGGAGUCCCUGCCUCAGAGAGCACCUUGUGUUAAACAAGAUUGCCUACGGUCAAAGCUUUUGAAAUACUUUUGCGAAUGUUCGCAGAGUGGACGUAAUAAACUGAAAUUAAAACCAAUUCUGAUCAUCCUUC